GGCGAACGCUGGCGGCGUACUUAACACAUGCAAGUCGAACGGAAAGGCCCUGCUUUUGUGGGGUGCUCGAGUGGCGAACGGGUGAGUAACACGUGAGUAACCUGCCCUUGACUUUGGGAUAACUUCAGGAAACUGGGGCUAAUACCGGAUAGGAGCUCCUGCUGCAUGGUGGGGGUUGGAAAGUUUCGGCGGUUGGGGAUGGACUCGCGGCUUAUCAGCUUGUUGGUGGGGUAGUGGCUUACCAAGGCUUUGACGGGUAGCCGGCCUGAGAGGGUGACCGGCCACAUUGGGACUGAGAUACGGCCCAGACUCCUACGGGAGGCAGCAGUGGGGAAUAUUGCACAAUGGGCGGAAGCCUGAUGCAGCAACGCCGCGUGCGGGAUGACGGCCUUCGGGUUGUAAACCGCUUUCGCCUGUGACGAAGCGUGAGUGACGGUAAUGGGUAAAGAAGCACCGGCUAACUACGUG
This 468-nucleotide ribosomal RNA is filed under the name uncultured bacterium. RNAcentral describes it as "partial 16S ribosomal RNA". It matches the Rfam family "Bacterial small subunit ribosomal RNA", at positions 28 to 507 of the family's 1533-position model. The record is from RNAcentral.